Long non-coding RNA from Synchiropus splendidus (mandarinfish), 1406 nucleotides. RefSeq lists it as uncharacterized. The record is from RefSeq and is a predicted model, not a curated record. The transcript is spliced from 3 exons. NCBI's taxonomy places the organism in Eukaryota, Metazoa, Chordata, Actinopteri, Syngnathiformes, Callionymidae.
UGAACCACCACGGCCAUCAGACGACCCUUGUGCAACCUGUGGGAUAUUUUGUGCCAGUAAACCUGCUGCCCCAGUGUCACAACCUCUUUCGCUGACGUCACCGCCACAGCCUGCACCUCCUGCACUUGAACUGCACAGCCAGCUUCCACCACUGGACUCCUGGACCUCACCAGCCACUCGUCUGGGAUCUCCACCACAGCACUAGAAGCAGACUCUUGCUUUUCUGCACAAUUAAAUAUCCAAAUCCGGAUUUCCAGUCUGCGUUUGAGUCCCCUGCUUCAACCACGUCACACCCAGUUGAUAGGGAGCCAGAGCUUCGUGCCAACUGGAUGUCUGUGCUGCUGAGAAGAAGAUGGGCGGCUGGAGACAUGCUGAGGUCAGAGUCAGUGGACGUCCACCUUGUAUGCUUAGUUGUAUGUUGUAUGUUUAGCUCUGGGAGAAAAGCAUGUCAUCUACCUCCCAAAACACUGUGUAUUAGGGCCUCGAGCUGAACUCUGUGUCUGGCAGCUGCAUCAUCCGUGGUUCCACUAGGUCUGCUGAAGAUGAGACCGAUGCAACGCUGGUUUAUAAAUCAGUGCGUCAAUCCCAAAAGGGAGCUCUCCAGGGUUCUGACAAUUUCAGCACCAUGCCUCCAGACUCUGUGUUUUUGGCUCAUCUCAGAGUAGGUGUACGGACCGGCCCGGUUACACUCCGGACAGUAAUAAAGACAGACGCCUCCCUGUACGCUUGGGGGGCAGUCUGCGAGGGCCGGUCAGUCCGAGGCAGAUGGAGAGGGUCCGAAACUCGUCACAUCAAUGUUCUACAGCUGGAAGCCGUGUGGCUUGCGCUGAAACAUCAUGCUCUGAUUCGAUCAGAACAGCGUUUGCUUAUAUCAAUCGUCAGGGCGGAGUGCGGUCUCAGAGCAUGCACCAGGUAGCAAAGAAAAUAUAGUCGGUUGUGUUCACUGUCGCCCAUCACAUUCAGGGCAGUUGGAACUUGGAAACCGACCUUCUUUCAAGGGGGGAACCUCAGGAUGCAGACUUUUUACUCUUCAUUUAUUUCAGACGUGGAUGUUUCUGUGCGCAUCAUGAGUCACAUUUUUAUGUUUCGCUUUAAUUUAAUCCAGUCAUGCUCAACUGCAAAGCUUUUAUUGUCAACUUUUAUUUUGAAGGAGCCAGUAAACCUGCAGCCCCAGUUGAUAGGGAGCCAGAGCUUCGUGCCAACAGGAGGUCUGUUCUGCUGAGACGAAGAUGGGCGGCUGGAGACAUGCUGAGAAAGGUGCCAGCGGGCCGAGAAGAUGCAGCAGAAAAGGGAUCAGGACGCAGGAAGAUCUUCAGCUGCCUAUUCUUCAUCAACAGCAUUAUCAUGAGGAAUGAUGUAAAUGUGAGAGAUGUAAAUAUUUGAUCCAGUGGGAUCUUUUUUUAGAA